UCAAAUAAUUGGCUGAAGAGUGAUUCUUACUCAGGUAAGAAUUGAAAAGGGAAGUCAGUAGAAGCUGACGCGGUGCCCGCCACUGUAAAGGGAAUCAGCCCACAAUUUUGUCACUGGAAUUAUUUCCGGGAAGACGUGGGGUGAUGAGGAACUUAAGCCAGGAGACCUGCUCUUGCCAAACUACGUAA
Regulatory RNA element from Desulfitobacterium hafniense Y51, 188 nucleotides. The record is from Rfam. NCBI's taxonomy places the organism in Bacteria, Bacillati, Bacillota, Clostridia, Eubacteriales, Desulfitobacteriaceae.